GGGUUAGUAGGUUGGUCAUGCCUCUGGUAUGUACUGGUCUCACUGAUUCCUCCUUCCUGAUGAACCGUAAUGCCAUUAAUUUGGUGUUGCGGGGAAUUUGGACUGUUACUUUGAAAAAAUUAGAGUGUUCAAAGCAGGCAUUUGCUCGGAUACAUUAGCAUGGAAUAAUGAAAUAGGACGUUCGAUCCUAUUUUGUUGGUUUCUAGGAUUGACGUAAUGAUUAAUAGGGAUAGUUG
Molecule: ribosomal RNA, 236 nt
Filed under: uncultured Glomus
Lineage: Eukaryota; Fungi; Glomeromycota; Glomeromycetes; Glomerales; Glomeraceae
Also listed under: 1 other name
Description: partial 18S ribosomal RNA
Rfam family: Eukaryotic small subunit ribosomal RNA (bases 40-236)
Source: RNAcentral